Epinephelus fuscoguttatus (brown-marbled grouper) is the source of this 866-nucleotide non-coding RNA. The record is from the annotation of a RefSeq genome assembly. Lineage: Eukaryota; Metazoa; Chordata; Actinopteri; Perciformes; Serranidae.
UGCAUCAGCAGCACCAUGCUCCAGUGCUCUGGGAGAGUUUAUAGUCCUGAGAGUUGAACACUGGAUGACUGACAGCUGUCCUUCAUGACAACAGAAGCCACAGAAAUCCUCCUCAUCAAAAACAUGACUUUGAUCUCCGUCCUCAUCUGGACUCUCCUCUGCUGCUGCUUCACAGAGUCCAGAGGUCAGGUCACAGUGACUCAGCCUGGAGCAGUGAGCUCUGCUGUGGGAGGCUCCAUCACCAUCACAUGUAGGACCAGUCAGGAUGUUUAUAACUCUAACUACUUAGCCUGGUACCAACAGAGAGAUGGAGAAACUCCUAAACUGCUAAUUUACCUCACCAGCACUCGAGCAUCAGGGAUUCCAGGUCGUUUUACAGGCAGUGGAUCAAAGUCUGACUUCACUCUGACCAUCAGUGGAGUCCAGACUGAAGAUGCAGCAGUUUACUACUGUCAGAGUGAACACUACAUCAACAGUCAGUGGUUGUUCACACAGUGAAAAAGCAUCGUACAAAAACCUCCCUCAGUCAGACUGAACAGAAACUGAACUGACUGCUGCAGCUGGAAGCUACUGCAGAGACUGAUACACUUCACUGAGGACACACACACACACACACAAACACACUGUGCACACGCACACACACACACUGUGCACACACAGUUCUCAUUAUAAUCUCUUUUUCUUUUGUGAUUGAUUUGAUUGAUUUGCUAGUUAAUAAAGAGGAGACAAGCUCAGACAGUAAAUUAGAAAAGACUUGGUCACGACCUUUGACCUCAGCUUCAUACUGGAUCACAGCCAUCUCAACUCUGUCCAGUUACAAGAAAACAUCGACACACAGAGCAGCAUCAGAAAUAUUCAUAAUAAAA